This is a non-coding RNA of Erinaceus europaeus (western European hedgehog), 106 nucleotides long. The record is from Rfam. NCBI's taxonomy places the organism in Eukaryota, Metazoa, Chordata, Mammalia, Eulipotyphla, Erinaceidae.
AUGCUCACUUUGACAGCACAUAUACUAAAAUUGAAACAAUACUAACAAAUUAGUAAGGUUUCUUAACAAGAAUGAUGCACAAAUUCCUGAAGCAUUUUACAUUUUU